This is a regulatory RNA element of Clostridium sp. 7_2_43FAA, 120 nucleotides long. It matches the Rfam family "SAM riboswitch aptamer (S box leader)". From Rfam's summary of the family: The SAM riboswitch is found upstream of a number of genes which code for proteins involved in methionine or cysteine biosynthesis in Gram-positive bacteria. The SAM riboswitch acts at the level of transcription termination control. The predicted structure consists of a complex stem-loop region followed by a single stem loop terminator region. Lineage: Bacteria; Bacillati; Bacillota; Clostridia; Eubacteriales; Clostridiaceae. The record is from Rfam.
ACUUUAUUAAGAAUGGUGGAGGGACUGGCCCUAUGAAACCUAGCAACCUACGAAAUAUAAAAUUAUUUUAUAAAUAAGUGUGGUGCUAAAUCCUGCAAGCUGAUGCUUGGCAAAUAAGGU